UACUGUACUGUACUGGCUAGAUGGGAGGUACUGUACUGUAUUGGCUAGAUGGGAGGUACUGUACUGUACUGGCUAGAUGGGAGGUACUGUACUGUAUUGGCUAGAUGGGAGGUACUGUACUGUAUUGGCUAGAUGGGAGGUACUGUACUGUAUUGGCUAGAUGGGAGAUACUGUACUGUACUGGCUAGAUGGGAUGUACUGUACUGUAUUGGCUAGAUGGGAUGUACUGUACUGGCUGGAUGGGAGGUACUGUACUGUAUUGGCUAGAUGGGAGCUACUGUACUGGCUAGAUGGGAGGUACUGUACUGUAUUGGCUAGAUGGGAGGUACUAUACUGGCUAGAUGGGAAGUACUGUACUGUACUGGCUAGACGGGAGGUACUGUACUGGCUGGAUGGGAGGUACAGUACUGGCUAGAUGGGAGGUACAGUACUGGCUAGAUGGGAGGUACAGUACUGGCUGGAUGGGAGGUACAGUACUGGCUAGAUGGGAGGUACAGUACUGGCUGGAUGGGAGGUACAGUACUGGUUGGAUGGGAGGUACUGUAUUGGCUAGAUGAGGUACUGUAUUGGCUAGAUGAGGUACUGUACUGGUUAGAAGGGAGGUACAGUACUGGCUUGGUGGGAGGUACAGUACUGGCUGGAUGGGAGGUACUGUACUGUAUUGGCUAGAAGAGGUACUGUACUGGCUAGAUGGGAGGUACUGUACUGUAUUGGCUAGAUGGGAGGUACUGUACUGGCUGGAUGGGAGGUACAGUACUGGCUAGAUGAGGUACAGUACUGGCUAGAUGGGAGGUACAGUACUGGCUUGAUGGGAGGUACAGUACUGGCUGGAUGGGAGGUACAGUACUGGCUAGAUGAGGUACAGUACUGGCUAGAAGGGAGGUACAGUUCAGUACUGGUUAGAAGGGAGGUACUGUAUUGGUGGGAGGUACAGUACUGGUUAGAAGGGAGGUACAGUACUGGCUAGAAUGGAGGUACAGUACUGGCUUGGUGGGAGGUACAGUAUUGUACUGGGUGGAUGGGAAUAUGUAAACCCAGCCAACAUAUCUGGGUUAGUAUUCUGUAUGUGAAAUUGAGACAUCCAGGCCCGCUAGCCAAAACUCAACGGUGUGUGACUGACAGCUACAUGAACAUUAACUAUGUUACUCUUAUAAUGACCAUUUGGGGGGAGGGGGGCUUAUGUUGGUCCUGGUACACACCUGUACAAGUCUGUAAUGGAAAUGUGUUUCUUACAUACUGAGACCCUGAGGAGUGGGGUCGCGACCUUUUAUGGUGAUACCAUUCAGUAUUGGCUUCUGUACUCACAACCCUAUUUUCUAAACCAGACACAGUGAUGUGUGCAGUCUGGUUGAAUAUUGCCUAUUCAGGCAUGUGAGCCAUCGUCACAACCCAGUCAAAAUGUUGCUUUUUCUCACCCUCCUUCCCUUUUUAAUAUUUUGCGUUGCAUGUUUUUUUCACAGCACAUUUGAGUUAUUUCAAUGGUUAGACUGUAUUUCAAGCAAUAACUCGUAGCUCAAUACAGAUAGACUGAAAGUGUUUGUAUUAUAUUU
Salmo salar (Atlantic salmon) is the source of this 1550-nucleotide non-coding RNA. The record is from RefSeq and is a predicted model, not a curated record. NCBI's taxonomy places the organism in Eukaryota, Metazoa, Chordata, Actinopteri, Salmoniformes, Salmonidae.